This 351-nucleotide ribosomal RNA is filed under the name Oithona similis. Its description in RNAcentral is "partial 28S ribosomal RNA". The record is from RNAcentral. Lineage: Eukaryota; Metazoa; Arthropoda; Copepoda; Cyclopoida; Oithonidae.
GAGUUCAAGAGUACGUGAAACCGCUUAGUAGUAAACGGAGGGACUCUCGAAGUCGGCGGUGACGGUUCAGGGUGACGGCGGGGCGGCCUGGGGGCUUGGGAUCCGCAAGGACCCUGCCCUUUUGUCAGCUCUGUCGGCGCCUGCACUUCGUUGCCGCCAUACGCGAUGAACCGUUUCCGGCGGACCGAGGGCGUGGGUGAAGUUUGUUGGCCUCGGCUUUCAAGCCCCGCGUUCCUGGCUCUGUCGGGGACGGGUAGUGGAGCGAUCUCUUAUAGAGAGUGCCCUUGCUGGCACGGUUCGCAUCUCUAUCGCGAGUAGGUCGGCGGUCCCUCCGACCCGUCUUGAAACACG